AAAGUGACGAUAUCUGUAGUGAAUUGUCCGAGGAAUUUUUUGGAAUAUGUAUAGAAUAUGUUCGGAAAUGAGGUUAAUCAGUCCAAAACUAGCGCAAUUUUUUGUGCGCCGUAAAUUGCAGUUGUUUUUUUUUUUUUUUUACUAUGGGAGGCACUAUAGCUCCCAGGUCGUCCAUCCGAUUUUUUUCAGACCAGGAGCUACAGACCUGCAGUUAACCUGGGGCACACUCUCUCCAAAUAUAGUGCGUAACCAGAGCGCCUUUUACUCGACUAUCUAGGCAGGUGCCUAUAGACUGACUGAGUGGCUAGGAUCAGGUAGCGCUCUGACCGCGCACUGUGGGAUAACGGUUUAGAGUUAAAAACUGAAGAAAAAAAACUCUGGCUUAAUAGGGCAGAGUUCAAGCGCCAAAACUGAAUUCCUUUGUUCUAUGUAUAUUUGUACUUAAUUCCUCAUAUUGGGCAGAAAUGCCUUCCUCAAGUCCGUGAGGCGGUAAUCAUGUGAGGUUGCGGAGAAUCCGUGGAUGAUGACAACCGUCAUUCUCCUGGAAUCAAAACCUGACGAAGAAAUGGCGAUGCGGUUGUAGGGAAAAAGUUCCUCGUCCACGCUGAUAUUCUGCUGAGUGAAAAGAUAAAAUCGCGGUUUGAUUUUUGCUGGGGAGUCUGCGAGCCUCGCAGCUGUUUUCGUAGGUCCUUCUGUCAUCUCCACAGACCGGGCGAUAUAUUUGUGGGCAAUCGCAAUUGUCAAUGCAGGGACACCGCUGUUCACACCUCACGGAUAUACCCCUGAAAGCGAAAGAGAGAAAUAAAAAGACUGAUCAUUUACCUGCACUGAGCGAAGCACUGGUUGUCGUAGGUUUGUUCGUCCGUGCCACAGACUGGUGAGUAGUGGACAGGGCACCUGUCACACGCACUGUUGGAGGAGCAGGGACAGCGCUUGUAGCAUUGCA
Molecule: long non-coding RNA, 946 nt
Organism: Magallana angulata
Lineage: Eukaryota; Metazoa; Mollusca; Bivalvia; Ostreida; Ostreidae
Exons: 4
Source: RefSeq, a predicted model, not a curated record